This 82-nucleotide transfer RNA is filed under the name Hofstenia miamia. RNAcentral describes it as "tRNA-Ser for anticodon AGA". It matches the Rfam family "tRNA". From Rfam's summary of the family: Transfer RNA (tRNA) molecules are approximately 80 nucleotides in length. The record is from RNAcentral. Lineage: Eukaryota; Metazoa; Xenacoelomorpha; Acoela; Hofsteniidae.
GCAAUCAUGGCCGAAUGGUUAAAGCGUUAGACUAGAAAUCUUAUGCCCUCUGGUGUCACAGUUUCGAAUCCCGUUGACUGCG